Molecule: ribosomal RNA, 1843 nt
Filed under: human metagenome
Description: bacterial LSU rRNA
Rfam family: Bacterial large subunit ribosomal RNA
Source: RNAcentral
UUGGCUUAGAAGCAGCCAUCCUUGAAAGAGUGCGUAAUAGCUCACUGGUCAAGUGAUUCUGCGCCGAUAAUGUAGCGGGGCUCAAGUACACCGCCGAAGUUGUGGCAAUGACCCUUUGGGGUUGUUGGGUAGGGGAGCGUCGUGUGGCCGUUGAAGCUGCGGUGUAAACCAGUGGUGGAGGCUAUGCGAGUGAGAAUGCAGGCAUGAGUAGCGAAAGAUGAGUGAGAAACUCAUCCGCCGGAUGAUCAAGGGUUCCAGGGUCAAGUUAAUCUGCCCUGGGUUAGUCGGGGCCUAAGGCGAGGCCGACAGGCGUAGUCGAUGGAUAACGGGUUGAUAUUCCCGUACCGGUGAAGAACCGCCCAUACUGAUAUUGUGAUGCUAACCAUGCGAAGCAUGAUGUGCAGGCUUUUGUUUGUGUGUUGUGUGGGUUGUGGGACCCGAUCUUUGGAGGUAAACGUGUUAACAGGUGUGACGCAGGAAGGUAGCCAAGCCACGCGAUGGUUGUCGUGGUCUAAGCGUGUAGGGUUGUCGGUUGUUAAAUGCGCCGGCUGUGUGCCUGAGACGUGAUGGGACCCCGUUUUUGGGGGAUUUGGUGAUCCUAUGCUGCCGAGAAAAGCAUCGGCGUGAGGUUUUAGCCGCCCGUACCCUAAACCGACACAGGUGAUCAGGUAGAGAAUACUAAGGCGAUCGAGAGAAUCAUGGUUAAGGAACUCGGCAAAAUGCCCCCGUAACUUCGGGAGAAGGGGGGCCCUGAGCGUGAUCUGCCCGUGCGGUGGGGAGCGUGUAGGGGUCGCAGAGACCAGGGGGAAGCGACUGUUUAUCAAAAACACAGGUCCGUGCGAAGUCGUAAGACGAUGUAUACGGACUGACUCCUGCCCGGUGCUGGAAGGUUAAGAGGAUUGGUUAGCUCUUUUGGGCGAAGCUGAGAAUUUAAGCCCCAGUAAACGGCGGUGGUAACUAUAACCAUCCUAAGGUAGCGAAAUUCCUUGUCGGGUAAGUUCCGACCUGCACGAAUGGCGUAACGACUUCUCCGCUGUCUCGACCGUGAACUCGGCGAAAUUGCAGUACGAGUAAAGAUGCUCGUUUCGCGCAGAAGGACGGAAAGACCCCGGGACCUUUACUAUAGCUUGGUAUUGGUGUUCGCUUGGACUUGUGUAGGAUAGGUGGGAGACUGUGAAGCUGCCGCGCCAGCGGUGGUGGAGUCGUCGUUGAAAUACCAUUCUGGUUCAAGCGGUCACCUCAACCUUGGCCCGUGAUCCGGGUUGGGGACAGUGCCUGGUGGGUAGUUUAACUGGGGCGGUUGCCUCCUAAAAUGUAACGGAGGCGCUCAAAGGUUCCCUCAGCCUGGUUGGUAAUCAGGUGGCGAGUGCAAGUGUACAAGGGAGCUUGACUGUGAGACCGACGGGUCGAGCAGGUGCGAAAGCAGGAACUAGUGAUCCGGCCAUGGCACGUGGGUGCGUGGUCGCUCAACGGAUAAAAGGUACCCCGGGGAUAACAGGCUGAUCUUGCCCAAGAGUCCAUAUCGACGGCAUGGUUUGGCACCUCGAUGUCGGCUCGUCGCAUCCUGGGGCUGGAGUCGGUCCCAAGGGUUGGGCUGUUCGCCCAUUAAAGCGGUACGCGAGCUGGGUUCAGAACGUCGUGAGACAGUUCGGUCCCUAUCCGCUGCGCGCGUUGGAAAUUUGAGAAAGGCUGUCCUUAGUACGAGAGGACCGGGACGGACGAACCUCUGGUAUGUCAGUUGUACCGCCAGGUGCAUGGCUGAUUGGCUACGUUCGGGAGGGAUAACCGCUGAAAGCAUCUAAGCGGGAAGCCUGUUUCGAGAUGAGAUUUCCUGGCACUUUUU